This 276-nucleotide small nuclear RNA is filed under the name Octodon degus (degu). RNAcentral's name for it is "7SK RNA (ENSODEG00000022969.1)". It matches the Rfam family "7SK RNA". Rfam says of the family: 7SK was discovered as an abundant small nuclear RNA in the mid-70s but a possible function has only recently been suggested. Two independent studies have found that 7SK RNA binds the CDK9/cyclin T complex (known as elongation factor P-TEFb). Lineage: Eukaryota; Metazoa; Chordata; Mammalia; Rodentia; Octodontidae. The record is from Rfam by way of RNAcentral.
GGAUGGGAGUGCAAUCUGGCCACAACGUCUGUCACCCCAUCGAUCACAAGGGUUGAUUCAGCUGACCUGGCUGCUUGGCAGGUAUCCCCUGCCUCCCCUAAUGCUCCAUGUGUGUCCCUCACAAAGCUGAGCUCUUGGUAGAAGACAAGUGCCCCAGAUAGAGGAGAAUCAUUCCUCCAUCAAGAGUAUAUGAGUAGCUGCCCUCCCCUGCUAGAACCUCCAAAAAGCUUUCCAGGAGAAGAGGUCUAAUUGGCUCAGUUUGAGAACAGCUGUUCU